UAAUAACAUGAGGAGUGAGGGUCCCUAAUUGUAAAAUUGCUUUGAAUGAAGCUUUGCUGCUCAGUGUGCAUUAAAAAAGAGUAUAAGAAUCUCCUGUAGGAGACCAAGAGAUGAAGAGGAUUCUUUUAUUAAAACAUUUGUUCUGACUCAUGCACAAAGAGGCAUCGAACCAAAGUCCCAAAUGCCCUGGCUGUGCCAUUCGAUCUCAGAACUGUAAGGUGGAAGGUGAGCUCUGCAAUGGAAGGGAACAGGAAGCUUCCCUGAACUGUGGAUUUUCUGGAGCUGGAUACAAAAAUCUGUCACUUG
Long non-coding RNA from Myiozetetes cayanensis, 306 nucleotides. RefSeq lists it as uncharacterized. NCBI's taxonomy places the organism in Eukaryota, Metazoa, Chordata, Aves, Passeriformes, Tyrannidae. The record is from RefSeq and is a predicted model, not a curated record. The transcript is spliced from 3 exons.